AACGAACGCUGGCGGCGGGCCUCAUACAUGCAAGUCGAGCGCGAAAGUCCGCAAGGAUGAGUAAAGCGGCGCACGGGUGCCUAACACGUGGGUAAUCUACCUUUUGGAUGGGAAUAACUUGUCGAAAGACGGGCUAAUACCGAAUAAGCUCUGCGAAACGUAAAGUUUUGCAGAGGAAAGAUGGGGCAACCUAUCACCGAUUGAUGAGCCUGCGUCCCAUUAGCUAGUUGGUAAGGUAACGGCUUACCAAGGCUACGAUGGGUAGCUGGUCUGAGAGGAUGAUCAGCCACACUGGAACUGAAACACGGUCCAGACUCCUACGGGAGGCAGCAGUAGGGAAUAUUGCGCAAUGGGCGAAAGCCUGACGCAGCCACGCCGCGUGAGUGAUGAAGGCCUUAGGGUUGUAAAGCUCUUUUAGUAGGGAAGAUAAUGACGGUACCUACAGAAAAAGCCCCGGCUAACUCCGUGCCAGCAGCCGCGGUAAGGUCGUCAUGU
RNAcentral lists this ribosomal RNA (495 nucleotides) under uncultured bacterium. Its description in RNAcentral is "bacterial SSU rRNA". It matches the Rfam family "Bacterial small subunit ribosomal RNA", at positions 29 to 532 of the family's 1533-position model. The record is from RNAcentral.